Felis catus (domestic cat) is the source of this 1368-nucleotide long non-coding RNA. RefSeq lists it as uncharacterized. The record is from RefSeq and is a predicted model, not a curated record. NCBI's taxonomy places the organism in Eukaryota, Metazoa, Chordata, Mammalia, Carnivora, Felidae. The transcript has 3 exons.
AGCCCAAGAGGAGGAGUGGCUUUCUCCCCCAACUACCCCAGGGGAAAGUAAACAGUCUCUGGCAUUUUCCUGCAUUCCUGAUUUUCAACCAAACUAUUGUUGAGAUUGGCCACUGUGGGCCGGGGAUGGAGAACUUCCCCUCGGGCGGAGCAAACCCGCCCAUUCCCAGGCCAGCGGCGAAGUCGGCGCCCGCCCCGGCCGGCCCUCCCAGGAACAAAGCCCCUUUGUCGCCCGCCUUCCCGGGGCCGAGGCUGCCCCGCCACGCCCGGGGCUCCCUCCCCUUCGAAGACUCCAAAGCCGGCCAGGAGCCUCACCACCGUUCUUCCAGGUCCCCUGCCUGCGAAGAAAACAAAGCAGCCUUCCUCAUCGCUCCGGGGGAGUGCAAGGGAAGAGAACAUUUCCUGCGCUUUGAGUGUGGGCGCCCUUGUCUCCUCCCUGACAGCCUUGACCCCAGGAAUUAGUUCUUUCGGGUCCUGCACCUUGUGCGAGGUCCCACAGUUGGUGAAUGGCAGAGGGUCUCAGACCCAGCACCGUUUCAGAGAAAUUACGUACACACACGCACACACACAUGAAUAUAUACACAUACGAAUUUAUACAUGUGCAUUUUUUUUUCCUUUCCAGCACCCAGGGCUGAGAAUGAAUGCCAUUUCGACGUUGUCCCCUUUCCGUCUCCAGAACUGUGGCUGAGAUGGAAAGUGAGGCUGGAUCAACCGCAGAGACGAAGGGUGCGUCUGGGAAAUGUGUGCUUCCUUGAUAUCAUUCCACCCUGUCUGGCCGCUACCGUUUGAAGAUGACCGCCAUUCAUCCCUGUUGGAGCCCAGCCGGCAUGCGGUCAGAAGCCCAAACACUUGGAGAGGUUGUGGCAAAGGUAUCUCCUUAACAGCCCAGCUGACAGCCAGCAUCACCUGCCAGCCGACGGAGUGAGCCACCUUGGAUGUCAGGCCCCAUUGGGCCUUCAGAUGCCUGCGCCCCAGCCAACAUAUAACUGCAACCCCAAGAGGCCCCCCAAAGAACGGCCCCACUGAGCCCAGUCAAACCGCGGACUAUCACAGGUAAUAAUAAACUGUUGUUUUAAACCAUGAAGUGAUGGGCUGCUUUGUUCUGCAGCAACAGAAACCCAAACACUACCUCCUAGGCCUGUUGCGAAAUGCGAUGAGAUAAUGCAUACACAUUGAUUGGUAACUGAUUACUACACUUGGAAAAAACGGGUAAGCUGAUUUAUAUGGGGAGAUAGAACAUGGGGACAAAUAAACCCAGCCCCAAGCAGGCAUGGUCUGAUCCACUCAUCUGUCACAAUUCAGGCUCUCUAUAGAAUCAUAAAAUCGCGGAGUAGAAAGGAAUCUUGGAAUUCUUCUAGUUCAACUUCCC